AUGGGCCGCCGUUCCAAAAUCUACAUUCAAGUCUACACCUACGGUUCAUAAAGGAGGAAUCCUUCACGUUCAGUGUGCUGUGUCCUGUGCACUUUCCAAUACCCAAGAUCACCAGGAACUCCUAACUCAUUGUUUGAACAAGUUCCCUUGCGCAUCAAGCAUCACCUAAGCUGUUGGUGAUGUGUACACCAGAGGGAGUCAGAGGAGCAGCACAGAGAGACCAUCACGAAAGAAGCAGUUCUAGAACAAGCCAGCCAGUGAUGAAAGACAAAUCUUCUAGCUUCACAGGUUAAAGCAAGGCUGUGUUUUGUAUAAUGGGUAGAGGUAUCUCUGAAACACUCUCAGUCAUUUAGCUUUUCAAUUACUUUUAGAGAAGUUUCAUCAUUGGAGAGAGAGUGGAUGGUCUCCUGAGCAGCCGAUUGCGUGUAUACCACAACCCUUUAAUGCUUCAGCAACAGCGCCUCAUUGGUACAUCAGCUACAUCUACCUCUUAACCCAGAAGUCAGUUAAUGCAUGAAAUGUACAUGUGGGGGUAACUAUCCUGUACAUACCUCAUAAUUACCCAUUAUCACUAUGGCCUGGUA
Platichthys flesus (European flounder) is the source of this 584-nucleotide long non-coding RNA. RefSeq lists it as uncharacterized. Lineage: Eukaryota; Metazoa; Chordata; Actinopteri; Pleuronectiformes; Pleuronectidae. The transcript is spliced from 3 exons. The record is from RefSeq and is a predicted model, not a curated record.